UACGGAGGGAGCUAGCGUUGUUCGGAAAUACUGGGCGUAAAGCGCACGUAGGCGGCGCAGCAAGUCAGGGGUGAAAUCCCGGGGCUCAACCCCGGAACUGCCCUUGAAACUGCAGUGCUAGAAUUCUGGAGAGGCGAGUGGAAUUCCGAGUGUAGAGGUGAAAUUCGUAGAUAUUCGCAAGAACACCAGUGGCGAAGGCGGCUCACUGGCCCGGUACUGACGCUGAGGUGCGAAAGCGUGGGGAGCAAACAGG
Molecule: ribosomal RNA, 253 nt
Filed under: uncultured bacterium
Lineage: Bacteria
Description: partial 16S ribosomal RNA
Rfam family: Bacterial small subunit ribosomal RNA
Source: RNAcentral